AGCUUAAUGUCUUCAAGCUUAUUGACUUUACAAUUGUUUCUUGUUUUCAGAGUUCACAAUUGUUAAGUGUGGCUUAAGCUGCAGAACAGCAAGCCAUUUUCAUUGUCUUUAUUGCUCACAGACCAUAAUUAAUAGGGGCCAGUUUUUACGGCAUGUCUAUUCACAUGAGCCAAAAGCUGUGACUGUAGGGCGACUUACAGCACCUGCCCAGCUCCCUCCACCAUCUCACCUGCUCACUGCAGCACCUGCCCAGCUCCCUCCACCAUCUCACCUGCUCACUCCAGCACCUGCCCGGCUCACCCCACCAUCUCCCCUGCUAGUUGCUUCCCGUCAUCCUGCUCCUGAAAAGCGACAUAGGCCUAAAAAAACUGUAAAUUUCCACACUGCAAUCUAAAAUUAAACAAGAAGAAUUAUAAAACACAUGUGCGUCGCAAGCACACAACAUAUUUUGAAACUGUCUCCAAGGAAAGACAUCUGCAAAGCCAGUGUAUUGAUGAACCCAAUGGUGUGUUUGCAGUGGAGAAGACAUUUUCAGGCCCGGCAACACCAAUACACGUCAUUAAAAAUAUGUCAUGUGAUAUGAGGUUCAUCUAUGUGAACUCAAUGCUGACUUUGCCCGAAGAUGUGGUAUGCUGCCUUAUGAAUGUCAGCAUUUGCAAUCAUUGCUGUACUGCCCACCUGCACGCAACAAACCAUUAACUUUGCAAAAGGAAUCAUUGGCUACAAUGGUUCAGGAGAAAUGGUUUGGUGAGGAGCUUAAGGCCAGUCUUGUACAGUGGCAACAAGAGAUAAAAGAUAGACCAAGUUUGUUCCUGUUCCAACAGUGUUCAAAGAUUUUCUGCCUGAUUUCCGAGUACUUAUAAAGUUGAAUUAAAUUGUACUUUUUCUUAACUUUCACAUGCAUUGUGUUCACAGAAACCUUGCUCAGAUCUUGUGCCCUGGGCAAGUCUUGGUGUGGAUGAUGUCCAGGGCCUACCAAGACAAGGUUUCUCGAACAACUGUGGGGUGUUUGUUUUGAUGUACGCAUUUUACAUUGUGGCAAGAGCCCAAUUUGAUUUCAAUGAGACAAACACGCAGCAAAUUAGGCACUGGUGGUGCCUAGUUCUCCUCAAACU
This is a long non-coding RNA of Notothenia coriiceps (black rockcod), 1115 nucleotides long. RefSeq lists it as uncharacterized. NCBI's taxonomy places the organism in Eukaryota, Metazoa, Chordata, Actinopteri, Perciformes, Nototheniidae. The transcript is spliced from 4 exons. The record is from RefSeq and is a predicted model, not a curated record.